Molecule: long non-coding RNA, 372 nt
Organism: Diachasmimorpha longicaudata
Lineage: Eukaryota; Metazoa; Arthropoda; Insecta; Hymenoptera; Braconidae
Exons: 2
Source: RefSeq, a predicted model, not a curated record
GAACCACUGUUGAAACCACCCCUAACCUCAAAGUAUUGAAAAAUAAAUAACAAUGGCACUGGGGAAAAGAACUCUGGAGCUUGCAGCAAAGUGGAUACCAUCAGCUACUCUCUAUGGAGGAGUCGGCGGCCUCAGCCUCCUAUACUUCACCGACUGGAGAGUCAUUGUUGAACAGAUUCCAAUCUAUAAUGGAAAAUUCAAAGACACCACGAAAUGAAAUACGUAAAUUUAGCCAAAAUUAUUGGUCUUUGUUUUAAAAUAUGAAAUGUAGUCAAAUCUUCAAUAAUUCAAUUCAAUCAAUUUCAAUCCUUAAUAAUUGUUAUUUAUUCAUAACCUACGCCAUGGAAAUAUAUUUACAGCUAUUCACAUGUU